UGGGGAAUCUUACGCAAUGGGCGAAAGCCUGACGCAGCAACGCCGCGUGAGCGAAGACGGCCUUCGGGUUGUAAAGCUCUGUCAGGAGGGACGAAGCCACUCAGGUGAAUAGCCGAGAGGGUGACGGUACCUCCAGAGGAAGCCCCGGCUAACUACGUGCCAGCAGCCGCGGUAAUACGUAGGGGGCAAGCGUUGUCCGGAAUCAUUGGGCGUAAAGCGCGUGUAGGCGGCCAUCCAAGUCUGGUGUGAAAGCUCGGGGCUCAACCCCGAGUCUGCACUGGAAACUGAAUGGCUUGAGUCCGGAAGAGGAGACUGGAAUUCCUGGUGUAGCGGUGAAAUGCGCAGAUAUCAGGAAGAACACCGGUGGCGAAGGCGGGUCUCUGGGACGGUACUGACGCUGAGACGCGAAAGCGUGGGGAGCAAACA
Molecule: ribosomal RNA, 426 nt
Filed under: uncultured prokaryote
Description: bacterial SSU rRNA
Rfam family: Bacterial small subunit ribosomal RNA
Source: RNAcentral